RNAcentral lists this ribosomal RNA (252 nucleotides) under uncultured bacterium. Its description in RNAcentral is "partial 16S ribosomal RNA". It matches the Rfam family "Bacterial small subunit ribosomal RNA", at positions 524 to 776 of the family's 1533-position model. The record is from RNAcentral.
UACGGGGGGGCAAGCGUUGUUCGGAAUUACUGGGCGUAAAGGGCUCGUCGGCGGCCAACUAAGUCAGACGUGAAAUCCCUCGGCUUAACCGGGGAACUGCAUCUGAUACUGGAUGGCUUGAGUUCGGGAGAGGGAUGUGGAAUUCCAGGUGUAGCGGUGAAAUGCGUAGAUAUCUGGAGGAACACCGGUGGCGAAGGCGGCAUCCUGGACCGACACUGACGCUGAUGAGCGAAAGCCAGGGGAGCAAACGGG